RNAcentral lists this ribosomal RNA (494 nucleotides) under uncultured bacterium. RNAcentral's name for it is "partial 16S ribosomal RNA". It matches the Rfam family "Bacterial small subunit ribosomal RNA", at positions 28 to 523 of the family's 1533-position model. The record is from RNAcentral.
GAUGAACGCUCGCGGCAGGCUUAACACAUGCAAGUCGAGGGGUAUAGUUCUUCGGAACUAGAGACCGGCGCACGGGUGCGUGACGCGUAUGCAAUCUCCCUUUUACAGGGGAAUAGCCCAGAGAAAUUUGGAUUAAUGCCCCAUAGUAUAGUUUAUUCGCAUGAGUAGAUUAUUAAAGUUCCAACGGUAAAAGAUGAGCAUGCGUCCCAUUAGCUAGAUGGUAAGGUAACGGCUUACCAUGGCGACGAUGGGUAGGGGUCCUGAGAGGGAGAUCCCCCACACUGGUACUGAGACACGGACCAGACUCCUACGGGAGGCAGCAGUGAGGAAUAUUGGUCAAUGGACGCAAGUCUGAACCAGCCAUGCCGCGUGCAGGAUGACGGUCCUAUGGAUUGUAAACUGCUUUUGUACGAGAAGAAACACUGCUACGUGUAGCAGCUUGACGGUAUCGUAAGAAUAAGGAUCGGCUAACUCCGUGCCAGCCGCCGCAGUAA